GCUGGGUGGCGAAGCAGGAGGGGUACGCCUUGAUCGCGUAGUCGUCGACCCAGGCGGUCAUCCAGUGUUCCAGGCGUUGGCCCAGCACC
Molecule: transfer RNA, 89 nt
Filed under: Streptomyces griseoflavus
Lineage: Bacteria; Bacillati; Actinomycetota; Actinomycetes; Kitasatosporales; Streptomycetaceae
Description: tRNA-Ser
Source: RNAcentral